RNAcentral lists this long non-coding RNA (852 nucleotides) under Astyanax mexicanus (Mexican tetra). RNAcentral describes it as "lncRNA (ENSAMXG00005023974.1)". Lineage: Eukaryota; Metazoa; Chordata; Actinopteri; Characiformes; Acestrorhamphidae. The record is from RNAcentral.
GCGGGCGUUGUUUUGGCCAGUCAGUGUAGAGUAGUCAUUAAGCCCGGCGGGUUAAUUUUUCAGCAACUUCUCCGUGUUUGUUUUAAGAAAGAGCAGCUGAAUGUUCUCGGCUUGUAAAAUUAACAUAUUAAGAAAACGCUCGGAUUAAGGGUUUUUAACCAGUGAAAUAAUCAUUAGCUACAUAACUGUCCACAAAGUCUGCAAAGGAGAAAGGGAGGAAAAUGUAACUGACUGUAAGCAGCCAAACUUCCCCGGCUAGAUGUUCAGCUAAUCAUCAGGUUGGAGGGAGAUCUUCGCUCUAAUUACACCUAAAAAAGUGGACUCGGUCAGAUUUAUGGUUGGAAAUGAUGGAACUCUUCAAAAACAUUCUUCAAAUCACCCUGCCCUUCAAACAAGUGACCUUCAACCUGCCACUGCCCGCAUGGACUGUGUGAAUUAGACUUGCGGAGCCAUGACCCUGUUACCAGUUCACCGGUUGUUCCUCCUUGGGUCACAUCUGAUUGAUGAGAAUGUGAGAAUAUAUGAGGGAAUUUUAACCACACAGUUGGCCACCAAGCCUGCAGAGAUAAAUGUGGUCGUCUGCAUACAGAGCUGGAGCAACACUGCCACCUAGAGCCUGAAGUUUGUCCUAGUGAAGCAACCACACAGCAUUUACUAAAGGACAGGUAAGUUCCCUCUCCCCAAUGCAAAGUCAAUCAACAAAUCAGUUGAUUAAUCAUGAGAAAAAAAAGUCAGAAUAAUGUAAGAAUCAUAAAAAAAAAGGAAUGUUACUUGAAAUAUUUUUUUUUAUUAAUUUAUAAUACAGGCUUUUAAGCAGAUUGUAUUUUUUUCUUUACAUUUAAUAUUCUGAUG